This 301-nucleotide ribosomal RNA is filed under the name uncultured bacterium. RNAcentral's name for it is "partial 16S ribosomal RNA". It matches the Rfam family "Bacterial small subunit ribosomal RNA", at positions 509 to 807 of the family's 1533-position model. The record is from RNAcentral.
CAGUCGCCGCGGGAAUACGAAGGGGGCUAGCGUUGUUCGGAAUUACUGGGCGUAAAGCGCACGUAGGCGGAUAUUUAAGUCAGGGGUGAAAUCCCAGAGCUCAACUCUGGAACUGCCUUUGAUACUGGGUAUCUUGAGUAUGGAAGAGGUGAGUGGAAUUCCGAGUGUAGAGGUGAAAUUCGUAGAUAUUCGGAGGAACACCAGUGGCGAAGGCGGCUCACUGGUCCAUUACUGACGCUGAGGUGCGAAAGCGUGGGGAGCAAACAGGAUUAGAUACCCGGGUAGUCCCUGUCUCUUAUAC